CAUCCAUCCUCCCUCCACUGUAGGGACUAGACACACCUCUGUCCCCUCUGCCCUCCAUCCUCCCUCCACUGUAGGGACUAGACACACCUCUGUCCCCUCUGCCCUCCAUCCUCCCUCCACCGUAGGGACUAGACACACCUCUGUCCCCUCUGCCCUCCAUCCUCCCUCCACUGUAGGGACUAGACACACCUCUGUCCCCUCUGCCCUCCAUCCUCCCUCCACCGUAGGGACUAGACACACCUCUGUCCCCUCUGCCCUCCAUCCUCCCUCCACUGUAGGGACUAGACACACCUCUGUCCCCUCUGCCCUCCAUCCUCCCUCCACCGUAGGGACUAGACACACCUCUGUUCCCUCUGCCCUCCAUCCCCCUCCCUCCACUGUAGGGACUAGACACACCUCUGUCCCCUCUGCCCUCCAUCCUCCCCUCCAGGGACUAGACACACCUCUGUCCCCUCUGCCCUCCAUCCUCCCUCCACCGUAGGGACUAGACACACCUCUGUCCCCUCUGCCCUCCAUCCUCCCUCCACCGUAGGGACUAGACACACCUCUGUCCCCUCUGCCCUCCAUCCUCCCUCCACCAUAGGGACUAGACACCUCUGUCCCCCUCCCCCCUACACAGGGCAGCUGUACUGAAGCCACACUGGACUGAACAGAACUGAACUCAGCCAAAGCCCAGAGUUUGUUGGCAGAAGUUUUUCUCUUGAAACCUGGUCAGCUUUAGAUUAAUCAUCACUACUAACAUUGAUAACAGGGUCAUAUGGAGGUUAGGGGUCAUAUGGAGGUUAGGGGUCAUAUGGAGGUUAGGGGUCAUAUGGAGGUUAGGGGUCAUAUGGAGGUUAGCGGUCAUAUGGGGGUUAGGGGUCAUAUGGAGGUUAGGGAUCAUAUGGAGGUUAGGGGACGUAUGGAGGUUAGCGGUCAUAUGGGAGGCUCCCAUGCAGGGUAGCCAGGGUUAUUAUGGAUGAGCGUAUAGUACAGGGCUGCGCUGCGGGGUUUUGCACCCACCCAGCACUAAAACACCUGCUGUGCUGAUUCACCUAAUUCAUGAAGAAUAGUUUUAUUUGUUGUUUUGUUAGUGGUGGGCUGGAACAAAACCCUGCACACAUACAGCACACUGAUGGCCCUGUGUAAGACGUGAUGUUAUCACCAACCACCAGUGGAUGCUAGACAGAACAGUGUGACAGUUAAACAGUAAGGUGGUGUCGCCUCCAGAGGUCAGCUCCAUUUAGAUUCCAGCCAGUUCAGAAACUGAAGCGUGUUCCAAAUCCACAUUAUCCUCAUUGAAAAGCAUUGAGGAGAAUUGGAAUUUCGCUAUACUUCCUGAAUUGACAGGAAUUCAAAUUCAACUGACCCCAACCCCGAUACCCUCAUAUUCUGUUUUUACUUACUUUUUAUAUUGUUUUAUUACCAGCUGAUGGGGAGGAGCUAAUUAUGACCUAAUUUAUGUUACAUGUAUUAAUCUUAUAAAAAAUAAUCUCAGUCAGGAAGUAUAUCUUGAAUCAUCCUCCCCCAGUUUCUGCUCAUGCUAAAGCACACUGUUUUUAGUUUAGGGAUAGUGUGUCAAGCGUCUGAGUAUGAGAGCUGAUCCAGGAUCAGGUCCCAACCUGUCCACACAAUCUUAUUAAUUGUCUUCUAAAAGGCAAAACUGAUCCUAGAUCAGCACUUCUACCCUGAGACGAAUGAGACAUUGGAGCCCAGCUAUCUUAACGGCUUAAUAAUGAUGAGCGAGGACCGACACACCAAAUAACAUUAUGAUGAAGUCUCAGUUGCUCCCUAACGUUGUAAAAAUGUUUUUGUAAAAACAAUGUAUUUUCUUUUCCUAUUGUAUUGUUCAGUGAACAGGGUUUGUCACUGUUUUUCUCUUAUUGGUCGUUUAAUAAAUCAUUUUUAAAC
Long non-coding RNA from Oncorhynchus tshawytscha (Chinook salmon), 1890 nucleotides. The record is from Ensembl. NCBI's taxonomy places the organism in Eukaryota, Metazoa, Chordata, Actinopteri, Salmoniformes, Salmonidae.